GUAUUGCUGAAGAGUCCCAAACUAGGGCGGAACAGCUGUCCAGUAC
This 46-nucleotide non-coding RNA is filed under the name Trichobilharzia regenti. Lineage: Eukaryota; Metazoa; Platyhelminthes; Trematoda; Strigeidida; Schistosomatidae. The record is from RNAcentral.